UUGUUUCAACGUAAUUGUUUGUCGCUAGGUAUUAAAAAACAAAGGCAUCCAAUAUUUUCACUUUGUCAUAAGACCCACCCUCACAGUAACGAGCCACUUUCCUUCUUCGUGAGUAACGAACCCCUUUUCUUCUUCUUCUUCUUCUUCUCCUCCUCUAAUCUUCCCAGAUGCGCUACAAAGUCAUCUCUUUUCUAAAAGACUGGUGUGUCUCUACUUCUUUCUCUGUUUAUUAGCAAAUUUUCUACAGUAAAUUUUUUAGGGUUUUGGUAGAUGUAAAAUAAAUCAAGCAUUUCACCUCUUCCCUCUUUUUCUUUGUAGUAUGUGAAGUUAAAUAUGAAGUAGAAGUUGACAUAUUCUGGGUAUGUCUCAUUUGUGCAUAAAUAUGUAUAUUUUUACUACUUAUUGUUGCUAAAAUAUGAUUUGGGGGUUUCCUUUGUGUUGAACUCUUGAUUUAUACCAAUUUUGGUGAUAUUUGGUGAUUAAAAUCAAAGAUAGGUGUCUUUAGAUCUGUGUGAGCGAAGUUAGCCUUCACUCACCCGUUGUUGUCAGCUUGGUGAAGCCCACCCAAUUCAUUCUUGUCCCUUAAGCUAAUUUAUUUCAGAUCCUUUUAAUUUUCUACUCAAUUAUAUACCCACCAAGUGUUUGUAUCUUUUUCUAGACCUCUCUGUUCUCGUUAUUAAGCAAUAAGAAUGCAUAGUAACUUCUGUUUUUAAUGAAUUAGCAUGUGUGACAGAGAAAACCUAUCCUAAACGAUUUUGUAUGGUAUAUUCUCUAAAGUGUUUGCAAAAGUCCUUCUUAGAGAUGAUUAUGGUUCCUCCAUGUGGGUUAAUAGGUUACUUAGUAGUUAUUUUUAAGUGUUAAGUAUUUGACUACUUGUGUUGUUAGCUCAAGCAAAAUUUGAGCUUCAAUUUUGGUGAUAUUUGGUGAUUAAAAUCGAAGUUAGGUGUCUUGAGAUAUGUGUGGUUCCCAAUUUCUUCAAGGUGAAGUGCUGGAAAACUCUACUUAGAGCCAUAGAUCUACUGAAAAUUGAAACUCAAAUGGUUGCAUUAGACAAUUGGACUGCCUCGCCCUUUUGCGCAUCAACAAGAACAAUGUCUUUUGAAACAAUUAGUCGACCACUUGUGUUCUUGGAAGGUUGUUGUUGUUUGCUACUGCCCUUUUGCGCAUCAACAUGUUUAUCACCCAUCCCAUCAUCAUCCAACACAUGUUCAUUCAUCAAAACACCAAAAGAGUUAGCAACACUAAGUGCCUUUGAUGCUUCUGGCACAUUAGUCUGCCUCUAACCAGUAGUGUUUUGCCCAGAUCCUGUAGUAAUAACAUUAGAAACCUUAGCUCCUUGAAACAUUAAUUAAACAACAUCAGUAACAGCUCGAUCAGCUGUAGUAUUGAACGCACCAACAGUAGCAACAGUAGGUUUCAAACUCCCAGAAGCAGGUUGCUCAACUCCAGCUAAAAGUUGAAGAUGUUUAGCCUCUAUAUUUGAUGCUUUAUAACAUGUAGUAGCUUCACACUCCAAAUCCAUAACACCUACAUGAUCUUGCCCCUCAUCAGCCACAACAGUAGCUUUGAGGCCUAUUGAUUUAUCAGUUGAUUCAUCAACUGCAGCAGCAGGUCGAUCGCGCACCAAAUAUUUAGACAACUGAUCCUCCUUGAUCACCGCCUUAUCACCUGUAGCAACUGUAACAUUCACUCCUGUUGCAUUCAAAGCACUAGUAGUCUCCAAAUUUGCAUUCACACAUUCACUCUGUCGCUAACCUGUUUAGCGAUGAAAAUAUACUAUUUAGUUACAGAAUUCGUCCGUCGCUAAAGCCUGGUUUUUUUGUAGUGGCGAUGGACCUUGUGCAAUCGCGCAGAAAACCCCCCUAGGCAGAACACUUUUAUUUCGGGACUUGGCCCAUUUCUCUCACAUUUCCAAUUGGUCUUUGGCAAAUUUGAGAGCACUUUUGUGGGGGAUUUUCAUCAACAUCAUAAGGUAAGUGAUUUCUAUCAAUUCUUCACUUAAAUACAUGGAUUAUGGGUAGAUUUAACAUGGAAUCAAUAAAAAUUUGUGGGAUUUUUUAAAAAUGGGAUUUGAACAUGAAAUUGAUUAUGGAAUUGGGAAUAUAUUUAUAUUUGAGUUCGAAGGGUCAUGGGUAACAAUUAUCUUCGAAUAUUUUCGUUAUCCGAGCACGUGGGCCCGAGGUUAAAUUUUAUGGACUUGCCGAUUUGGGUUGGAAAAUUACUCUAAUAGAUAAAUUAUGACAUUUUGAGCAUAUAUUGAUUAGUUUGUAUGACUUUUGACUAGUUUUGGAUUGCUCGACAUCAUUUGGGAAUUUCUAGUGAGGUUUAAGAGCUGAGUAGUGAGCUUGGAGGCGAAGUAAGUCUCUUGCCUAAUCUUGUAAGAGGGAGUUAUCUAUGUACGUGUAUUAAUUGUUGUGUGCUACAUUUUGUGGAAGCUACAUAUGCACUUGGUGAUGAGAGUCCAUAUAUUUCUUGAUUCAUGCUUAUGUCCUUGUAGAUUUAGAUUCACAUCAUGCUUCAAAUGUGCUAUUUAGCUUAACCUUGUUUUUUUUUAUUUCAUUAAUUCAUGACUGAGAUCGAGACUUGAAUAAAAAUAAUGACCAAGUUCCGUGUCUUCUCGACUUGCAUGUAUUUUCGCGAUUAACAGAGUUUCUAUAUUCUUAUGGGAUCGGGCCAUUCGCCUCGUGCGUAACACUUGCUAUUUGGAGUAGUAUUGAUAUUAGUUAAUAAUGCACCUUCGAGGUUGGUUAUGAUAUCUUAGUGAUUUCGUAAUAAUCUAUGUUUGGAAGUUUAUUAUUUAAUCUUAUUUUUGUUGUUGUUACUGAUGUGUUUCAUACAUGUCUACUUAUGUAUUUUAUUAUUUUGGUCACUAGUAAGUGUCAAUUCGACCCCUCGUCAUUACUUCUUCGAGGUUAGGCUAGAUACUUACUGGGUACAUAUUGAUUUACGUACUCAUGCUACACUUCUACACUGAUUGUGCAGGUACUGAGACAGGUACUUUCAGUGGUCACACGGCGCAUAGCCGCACUUCACGGAGACCUAGUGGUGAGUUUCUUUCCUUGCGUCGACCUAUAGCACCCGGAGUCUCCCUCUUCCUUAUUUACUGCUUCUGUCUAUUUCAUUUCAGAUAAUAGAUAUAGUUGUUUUCUAUAUUUCCUAGAUUGCUCAAGCACUUGUGACACUAGGUUUUGUGUGCUUUUAGUGGACUUUCACAUUUGUACUUGUUGUUACUAUCACAUUACUUUAUGUACUCUUUGUACCUGUUAUUUUGGUAAAGCAUUGCGUAUGUUUCCAUGAGUUUCAUGUGUAGUUCCUAUUUAUUUAAUUAGAAUUCUAAGUUUAAAGGCUAAGUUGGAUAAUUAAAUUGGAGAUUCACUGUUGGCUUGCCUAACUACAUUGUUGGGCGCCAUCAUGAACGAUUAUGGGAUUUGGGUCGUGACACUGUAAUCCCUCAAGUAAUUGAUCAAGUAUGAUGUGGUUAGAACCUAUAGAAUUCCCCAGCAUAGUCGACGUAUUGUUGUACCCUAUUUUUACAUGAGUUAAAAUAAAAUACAACUUAUGGUACUCUAUAAGGUUAAUUAGAGUUAUAGUGUCGCCACCUAGUAUUUAAGGUACACUAGGACACCUAUAUUACAUUAUGUAAUGUACACUUUGAUUAUGGUCUACGAAAUUAUUGGGAUUCAAGGUAAGGGUUCAAAUUAUAUCAAGGAAAAGGGGUUAGGCAUCUCUCAAGAUCCAGAAAAUGUGAUUCCUGGUGGACUUGUUCUAAUAAGGGUGGCAUAAAGUAAAUAAUGAUUAAUUUGAUAUAUACAAACAAUGGUAAAAGUAGUUCGAAGGAGGAGUAAUUGAACAUGAAUGUCACGCGGUAAAAUAUAAACAUAUUUGUAUAAUAAAUUAUAUACAAAGGGUGUAAAUAAAGUAUAUGAGAAUUAUAUUUUGAUGACUUGGUUAAAUAUAAAGAAUAUAUGUAGUAACAAGUAGAGUAUUUGUAAAUUAAAUAAAAAAAUAAUAAUUAAAAGAAUACACUUUAAAGAAUUUGAUUUAUGUCCAAAGGUUAACUACUUUGAGUGAAAGGCUAAAUGUAAGAAAAGGGAAAACUUACUCCAAAAUAAUUGUCCAAAAGUGGGAAAAGAAUUGUCUUGAAUAAUCUUAGUGUAUAAUGAAUAAAGUGAAAGAAUUAAUCCGAUGAAGAAAGAAUGAAUAUGAUAAGAAUAUGUAUAAAUAUAUAAGAGAAACAUUCGUAAUAGAAAACGAGUUGUAAUACAAUGAAUAGCUACAAAGUCUAAAGAUUCAAAAAUAUGAUAGUCCAACUAUAACUUUACAAGUUAUGUCUACUUUAAGUGAAAAUAGCUAAGCAAUAAUUUACAAAUAGAUUGGUUUAUAAAUCAUGCUAGUAUAAUUGUAAAAGUGUAAAAGUUAUUUAUUUUUUUGGAAGGAGAUGAAAUACCCUAUUUUAUAAGACUAAUUUAAUUCGUUAGGUAUAUACCAAUCCUAAAUUAAGUAAUCAUGUUAUAAAAUGUGUUUUCAACAACCUAAGUACAUAUAUUCAACCUUUGCGAAGUAUCAAAUGCACAACAUUGCAAGUUAACCGGAUUAUUAACUAGAUGCAAUUCACCCUAGGUGUUUGUGUAAUGACCCGACCGAUUGUUUUGAUCAUUGGCCUUCCGUUUGGCUAUCUGCAGUCUUGAGUAGCUUUGUAUGAUGUAUUACGACUUGCGUGUAUGAUUGGUUUUGAUGUUCAAGAGGUUCAGGAUUGAUUUAGAAGAGAAAUAUUCCUUUUUGGAGGCUUAAAGUUAAAGAGUUGACCAAGGGUUAACUUUUGUGUAAAUGAUCUCAGAUUUGCAUUUUGAUAGUUCCAAUAGGUUCGUAUGGUGAUUUUGGACAUAGGUGUAUGUCCGGAUUCGUAUUUGGAUGCUCCUAGAAGGUUUUGGAUUUAUUUGGUAAAAGUUGGAAAUUUGAAGGUGUGAAAAGUUCAUAGGUUUGACCGGGAGUUGACUUCGAUGUUAUUGGGUUCGGAUUGUUGUUCUGGGAGUUGGAAUAGGUUCGUUAUGUCAUUUGGGACUUGUGUGCAAAGUUUGAUUUUUUCCCGAAAUGUCUAAGUGUGAUUCGGAAGCAUUUGGCGAAGUUGAAAAGUUUGGAAGUUUGGAGAAUGAUUUGAUCUUUGAUUCUUGAUUUUAUUGUUCUUUUUGAUGUUUUGAACCUUUGGACAAUUCCAUGUCGUGUAUUUGGACUUGUAGGAAUGACUGGAUGUGUCCCAAGGGGCCCCAGUGAGUUUCGUGGUGUUCGAGAAAGGUUUGGAAUGGUUAAAUUGCAGAACAUUUGGGAAUCAGGUUAAAGAGGCUUGCCUUAAGGGCUCACGUUGCACGAACCCCAGGCGCGACAUCAGAUGGGAUUUCCUUAAGGGCACGCGUUGCACGGCGCCAGGUGCUGAAAUUUCAGCCUUCUCUAUUUAAGUCUCAUUUCGUACAUAGACUUCAUUUUAUCAUUUUGGAAGCUACACAACUCGAAUUUGGGAGAUUUUAGAAGGAGAUUUAAUCUACAUCAUUGGGGUAAGGAAUCCUAACUUAGAUAUAUAAUUUCUACUUGAAUAUAUCAUUGAUUUUUUCUCUAAAUCAAGGGAUGAAAAAGGGGGAAAAGGGUUUUUGCUUGAAAGAUAAGAAAGUAUAUUUUGAGGUUUUGAGUACCGAUUUGGAUUCUAUUUUUGAAUCUUAUCAUAUAUUUGGACUCAGCAUAUUAUCGAUGUUCGGGAUUUGUGCAUUUUGUCGGGUUAUGGGGUGUGGUCCCUAGUUGACUUUGAAUAUUAAAUUAAAAUUUUGACUUUUAUCGUUCGAGUUUGAUUCAUAUGGUAUUAUAUGAUGUUCUUGGUUUUUUUUUUGCUAGAUUCUUAUUGUUUGGAGGUCGAUUUGCGUGGGAAGGAAUUUUUAGAGGGUGGAUUUGGCUUGUCUCGGGUAAGUGUCAUGUCUAACUUUGGUUGAGAGAACGUUUCCUACUAAUUGAUAUUAUUUUCUACAUGCGGGGGUGAUGUAUAUAUGAGGUGACAAGUGUAUAUACAUGUGCCAUGAGUAUCCAUGACCGGGGGUAGAUUUUAGAGUACUCUAUGCCUUAUUCGGUUGUGUGUUCUACUUGAUUCUAUGUAUUAUUCCAUUCAUUGACUAUGUGAGCGUAAUAAACCAUGCUAGAGCUAAUGUUAAGGUUUUUGGUGCCUUAGUUUGAUCAUGAUGAACUAAUCUUGAUAUUUAUGUUUCACUAGCCUUGAACGUAUGUUAUGAACACACAUAUAUACUUGUUCUUGUAUUNNNNNNNNNNNNNNNNNNNNNNNNNNNNNNNNNNNNNNNNNNNNNNNNNNNNNNNNNNNNNNNNNNNNNNNNNNNNNNNNNNNNNNNNNNNNNNNNNNNNNNNNNNNNNNNNNNNNNNNNNNNNNNNNNNNNNNNNNNNNNNNNNNNNNNNNNNNNNNNNNNNNNNNNNUAUGCCUUGAUUGGGAUGUGUGUACUCUAUGACUCAUAUGUGAUCCUUUAUAUGACUACUUGAACUUGGUUUCUAUACUUUACUUAGUCGUAGUCAUGCCUUAUCCUCAUUUUUAUUGUUUUCAUGUCCUUGUGAGGUUUAUUGAUGAGUUAUGAGGAUAUGCCUCUUGAUGAUAAAUUAUUGUAUUGCAUGGUUGUGAUUAUGGCACUUAUGGACAUGUUGAGCGGAUUGAUUGUGAUGAUAUUAUGGCACGAGGUCUUUACCGUGCGAUUGUAAUGAUAUUGUGGCACAAGGAGCGAUUGUGAUUGGGGUGUCAGCAUGAGGUCUUUGCCAUGAAAUUAUUAUUGUUGACAUUGCACAUGUGGCUAGACAAUGAGGCUUAUAUCAGAUUUGCACAUGUAGCUAGACAAUGUGGAAUGAUUUGUUAAUAUGCGCAUGGCGAGACAAGGCGGGAAAUUACUUUAUUUUAGUACAUGCGGUGAUAUGCGGAUUGUACUGUGAUGUUGUAUGUGAUAGUUUUGGGGGUUAUUCUUGCUGAGAUUGUGUGAUGUUUCUGGAUGUCAUUUCUGAUAUUAUUGUUGUGAUGGGAUGGAAGUAAUUUGUUAAUUCUGUACUCGUUUUCACUUGAACUUCGUGUUGUAUUUUCAUAAAUUAUUGAAUUUGCUUCGUCAGGCUAUUUCAUAUGCCUUCUCUUCUAUUUGAUAAUUUUGUUGUAAAAAUAGGUUAACCUACGUGGAGUUGAUAUCUUAUCUUUUGUUGAGAUUUUGGUAGCAUAUCGGAUUGUCAAGAUAAGAAAGUUGCCAUCGAACAUUGAUAUAGUUGAUUCUUGAAAGGUUCUCUUGAACAUGUUAUUUAGCAUUUGAUAUGGAAUCAGAUCAUGUUGUGCACAAAUUUAUAGUCAUGUAUGAGCAUUGAGCACAAAAUUUAUGUAGUACAUACCUCUUUGUGAGCUGGGGUUGGUGCAAGUUGUAUUUGUUGAUCAUAUCUAAUUGGUAGAGUUUGUUUAUUACCUCAUCCCAGUUGUGCACCUUUAAUGUUGAUAUUCUUUACUCUGUGAUUGUCUUUCUGGAAUAUUUUUCCUGUAUUAUACAUGUUAUUGAGCUGCACAAGUUCUACAAAGUGAGUGUCUUUUGCCUUAAAAACCUCGCCAUUGCUUCUCUAAUGUUAGUCAAGAUACUUACUGAGUAUAUGGGGUAAGUUGUACUCAUACUACACUUUUACACCUUGCGUGCAGAUUUUGGAGUUGAGUUGCUGCAAACACGGAGCUUUACAUCAGAGUUGUACCAGCGUGCCGGAUUCAAGCUACUUUUUGUUCAUAGUAACUUAGGAUUUCAUUUCUCUUUAUGUAACUUUCAAACAAAUAUUGUAUUUAUCUCUCACAUUAGUUUUGUAAAUCCAAAUCACUGUGGCUCAUGACUUGUACUACUAGUCCUUGGGGUAGUUGUAUUAAAUGUUUUUGCAGUCUCAUUUAUGAUAUUGAUGAUUUCUCAUUCUAGUAGUAGUUUAUAUUGUUUGUCUUACCUAGUGGUUAGUUAGGUGUCAUCACAAUAUUUGUGGGAUUUUGUAUUGUGCAAGUUGGUUUCAAAGCUCUAGGUUCAUAGGUUAUACGAGUAAUGGGCAAGUGUCUAGUAGAGUCUUACGGAUCGGUAUGAUGGCGUCCAUACUUAUCUUUGAAAGCCUAUAGGGCAUUUAGGAAACUUCCUAUCUU
RNAcentral lists this long non-coding RNA (8173 nucleotides) under Nicotiana tabacum (common tobacco). RNAcentral's name for it is "long non-coding RNA (NTAB_LNC000095)". Lineage: Eukaryota; Viridiplantae; Streptophyta; Magnoliopsida; Solanales; Solanaceae. The record is from RNAcentral.